UGAACUCCUGUUUUCUUGUCUCUCAAAACAGGAGAAUUACAGCCUGCUGCUAGAGUGUUUGAUCAGUGUAAAUGAUUUGUGUCUAUAAGAUGCCAUGUACAGCCACAAUCUCAGUGAGAAAUGGGUUGUCGCCUCUUCUUCUUCAACUCAGUGCUCGUGUAAGAAUUCUGGUGACUGUUAGAAGCAUGCUUCCAAGCUGUCCGUGUCCUCGGCAUCCAGAAGCGGAGCCUGGAAGCUACUGAAUUUCUCCAGAAUGCGUUCUACAUUCACCUUCGGCAGAUACUCAGCACUCCCUGCACCAUUUGUUGAAUAGACUAUUCUUUCAAUGGAGUGUUGUUGGCACCCUUGUGGAAAACUGACUGUAAAUAUAAGGAGACUGAGAAUUAGGUCUUCUGUAUUUUGGAUGGAGCUCAUUAUCAAUGACAGGAAAUUGUAAGGAAAAAGAUAUUGAUUCAUCCUGAGAAAAUAUUUUUCUGACCGUCAGCAUUGAAGAGGGUGAACACUGAAGAAGGUGAUCAUUGUUUGAUUGAGACGAGCCCCGGGUUGUACGGAGUCAGCAUCCCUGUCCUGGACACGGCACGUGUAGAUCUGCGUGGUGGGUGAGGCGGCGAGG
Molecule: long non-coding RNA, 613 nt
Organism: Camelus dromedarius (Arabian camel)
Lineage: Eukaryota; Metazoa; Chordata; Mammalia; Artiodactyla; Camelidae
Exons: 4
Source: RefSeq, a predicted model, not a curated record